ACGACCUUACUUGAACAGGAUCUGUUCUAUAGGCUCGUACCUCCUUAUCCUUAAGCUCUAAGGAGAUAGGAUUCCAAGUCUGGUUGAUGAAUGGUAGCUGUGUGAUCAGAGCGUGAUUAUUGGCUGAAUGGUUCGGUAUUGGAUCAGCUUAGCUGCAGAGGAUCGUUCUCAGCUAAAACCUUGGUUGAGAUGGUCACACAGUUAUCUGACAGACU
Gossypium raimondii (Peruvian cotton) is the source of this 215-nucleotide non-coding RNA. NCBI's taxonomy places the organism in Eukaryota, Viridiplantae, Streptophyta, Magnoliopsida, Malvales, Malvaceae. The record is from Rfam.